Felis catus (domestic cat) is the source of this 1869-nucleotide long non-coding RNA. RefSeq lists it as uncharacterized. Lineage: Eukaryota; Metazoa; Chordata; Mammalia; Carnivora; Felidae. The transcript is spliced from 3 exons. The record is from RefSeq and is a predicted model, not a curated record.
GGGCAGCACGUACUGCGCAGACUCCGCGCUGUGGCCGGCCGCCAAUGCGCCCAGAGGAGGUGGGCUGAGAACGAGUGGCGCGUCCCUGAGGGGGCCUAGGUCGGCUGGGCAGCCGUCGAGUACCACGAGGCGCGUGGACCCGUGGCUAUGGUGCCCACUGGGAGGCUCGGGAGUGUGAGGCCGCGGGGCCGCAGCCGCCCACCGCGCCUCUCCCGCCCCGCGUUCCGCCGCCAGUCGUCGUGCUGCAAGCCGGGCCAAGCGUCUUGAAGGAGGCGUGAGCCUAACAAAACGUGCGGCGCUCAACUGCGGACUAAAUCAAAGAGUAUUUCACACCUUCUCUGGCAGAAACCUUUUCACCAUUUUAGGACUCCUUCUUUUGAAAGCUGUUGGCAGGAACUGAGGCAAGCAUUCGUCUCUCUGAGCCUCAACUACCAUCCAUAAAGAAGAGGUACUGCCUAACCCAUGAACUCAAAAUUCACAGGAGUAUCAAAUGGGUUUUAUAGUAAAUCAGAAAUCUCAUUUUCAAUGUAAGGAGAUCUUAUUUUUACCGAAAUUGACUAUUUUGACAAAACCACAGUCUUAUUAGUCCAGUUACUCAAAGUAGUAUUCAUGUUGAUUUCUCUGUUUGCUUCACUUUCCUACAUCCAACUGUUCUCCAAAUUCUGUUGAUUUUUCUUUUUAAACAGUUCUUGAGUCCUCCCCCUUUCUUCCCAGGUACACUGGGAUGGAGUCUGUGCCCUCAUUAUGGGCCUUUUAGGUAACUGGCCUUUCUACCGCUAGUCCCCUCAGCUUCUAGUCUAUUCACUGCUACUCUGUGGCCAGAGUGACCUCUUCAGACAAGUCAUGUUUCUCUCUUUAUGUUCCCCGUGGGUCUUCCACACUCACCAUAACAAAGCCUAAACUCCCUAAUCUGGCACACGUGGCCCUUUAUUUCCCUACUCCUUCCAUGUCCUUGGUACACCUUGCUCUGCUCAUCAUUCUCUCAAUCUCCAGACUCUUUUAUGACAUGGUGUCUUUCCUUAGGUUAUGCCAUUCACUGUCCUUGUUCACUUGCCAAACUCAGACUGCACCUCUUGGGGCCCAAUUAAGUGUUUCAUGGUAGGGCCUCUGGAGACACUGUGGAAAGAGAAACUUUUCUGCAGGUGGCAUGUGUGUCUCCAGGUCUGGUGGUGGCAUUCUCUGAAACUAAGGAGUGAGCCACAGGGGACAAAAGGGCUCCCAAGAUGGAGGCAGGUGGCAGCCUUUAGUUAUAAAUACUCACAGGCCAAUACUGUGGUUUCUUCAGGUAAAGAUGCUCAGAUCUCAGAAGGACCUGAAAGAAGGAAGGGAGGGAACUGAUUGUAUAGAUUUAAAAUUUUUGCAAAAUCCUUGCCUGCCCUAUUCAACUAGAAACAUCAUCCUUUAUGCACACCUGAGACUCUGGGAGCAUGACAGGACUUCUGCUGUCUCUGUCUGCCCAGGCCCCCCAGCAGGUGCUUGAGUGUUACUCCCUCCCCUUCUUCCUCCUUUUCCUCCACUUCUGUAUCCACCUCAUCCCCUGUAAUCAAUAAUUCUUAUGACAUUUUUAAAUUUACAAAACACUUGCAGAUACAUCAUUUCAUCUGCGUAACAACCUCGUGAAGUACAUUGAUCUUAUAUCUCAGUUUUAGAGAUGAGUAAAUUGAGGCCCAGAGAAGUUCAAUUACUUGUUUAAAGUCAACGUAGUUAGUAGAUUAUAGAACUGGGAUUUAAACUAAGUCUUCAACUCUAAAUCUCAGAGUUGUGUUGUUUGUUUUUAUAAAGUGUUGUGACAUUGAUAUUUAAUUUGGAACUAUGUUUCCAUUUGUAGCAUCUUUCUUGGUAUUAAAAUAUGCUGUUUUACAAACCCUC